GAUGAACGCUGGCGGCGUGCCUAACACAUGCAAGUCGAACGGAGCUGCUUUGAUGAAGUUUUCGGAUGGAUUUAAAGCAGCUUAGUGGCGGACGGGUGAGUAACGCGUGGGUAACCUGCCUCACACUGGGGGAUAACAGUUAGAAAUAGCUGCUAAUACCGCAUAAGCGCACGGUUCCGCAUGGAACAGUGUGAAAAACUCCGGUGGUGUGAGAUGGACCCGCGUCUGAUUAGCCAGUUGGCGGGGUAACGGCCCACCAAAGCGACGAUCAGUAGCCGGCCUGAGAGGGUGAACGGCCACGAUUGGGACUGAGACA
Molecule: ribosomal RNA, 316 nt
Filed under: uncultured bacterium
Lineage: Bacteria
Description: bacterial SSU rRNA
Rfam family: Bacterial small subunit ribosomal RNA
Source: RNAcentral